This 555-nucleotide ribosomal RNA is filed under the name Aureobasidium proteae. RNAcentral's name for it is "eukaryotic LSU rRNA". It matches the Rfam family "Eukaryotic large subunit ribosomal RNA", at positions 71 to 641 of the family's 3401-position model. The record is from RNAcentral. Lineage: Eukaryota; Fungi; Ascomycota; Dothideomycetes; Dothideales; Saccotheciaceae.
GGGAUUGCCCUAGUAACGGCGAGUGAAGCGGCAACAGCUCAAAUUUGAAAGCUAGCCUUCGGGUUCGCAUUGUAAUUUGUAGAGGAUGAUUUGGGGAAGCCGCCUGUCUAAGUUCCUUGGAACAGGACGUCAUAGAGGGUGAGAAUCCCGUAUGUGACAGGAAAUGGCACCCUAUGUAAAUCUCCUUCGACGAGUCGAGUUGUUUGGGAAUGCAGCUCUAAAUGGGAGGUAAAUUUCUUCUAAAGCUAAAUAUUGGCGAGAGACCGAUAGCGCACAAGUAGAGUGAUCGAAAGAUGAAAAGCACUUUGGAAAGAGAGUUAAAAAGCACGUGAAAUUGUUGAAAGGGAAGCGCUUGCAAUCAGACUUGUUUAAACUGUUCGGCCGGUCUUCUGACCGGUUUACUCAGUUUGGACAGGCCAGCAUCAGUUUCGGCGGCCGGAUAAAGGCUCUGGGAAUGUGGCCUCCACUUCGGUGGAGGUGUUAUAGCCCAGGGUGUAAUACGGCCAGCCGGGACUGAGGUCCGCGCUUCGGCUAGGAUGCUGGCGUAAUGGUUGU